Molecule: ribosomal RNA, 712 nt
Filed under: Lyophyllum cf. decastes AB09-09-204
Lineage: Eukaryota; Fungi; Basidiomycota; Agaricomycetes; Agaricales; Lyophyllaceae
Description: eukaryotic LSU rRNA
Rfam family: 5.8S ribosomal RNA (bases 292-445)
Source: RNAcentral
UAGAGGAAGUAAAAGUCGUAACAAGGUUUCCGUAGGUGAACCUGCGGAAGGAUCAUUAUUGAAUAAACUUGGUUGGGCUGUUGCUGGCUCCUUGGAGUAUGUGCACGCCUAGCGCCAUUUUUACCACCUGUGCACCUUUUGUAGACCCGGAUAUCUCUCGAGGAAACUCGGUUUGAGGACUGCAGUGCGAAAGCCAGCUUUCCUUGCAUUUCCGGGUCUAUGUUUUUAUAUACCCCAUAAGAAUGUAACAGAAUGUUGCUUUACUGGCCUUUUGUGCCUUUAAUCAAAUACAACUUUCAGCAACGGAUCUCUUGGCUCUCGCAUCGAUGAAGAACGCAGCGAAAUGCGAUAAGUAAUGUGAAUUGCAGAAUUCAGUGAAUCAUCGAAUCUUUGAACGCACCUGGCGCUCCCUGGUAUUCCGGGGAGCAUGUCUGUUUGAGUGUCAUUAAAUUCUCAACCUUUCCAACUUUUGCGAGCUUGGUCAGGCUUGGAUGUGGGGGUUGCGGGCUUCUCAGAAGUCGGCUCCCCUUAAAUGCAUUAGUGAAACCUUUGUUGGUCAUCUCUUGGUGUGAUAAUUAUCUACGCCAUUAGAGUGUCAGCCUCAACUCUGUUGAGAGGGUUCUGCUUCUAACCGUCCCCCUCUAGGGACAACUUCUGACCUUUUGACCUCAAAUCAGGCAAGACUACCCGCUGAACUUAAGCAUAUCAAUAA